UCUACGGGUGGCAGCAGUGAGGAAUAUUGGUCAAUGGGCGUAAGCCUGAACCAGCCAAGUCGCGUGAAGGAUGACGGUUCUAUGGAUCGUAAACCUCUUUUAUAAGGGAAUAAAGUGAGGGACGUGUCCCGUUUUGCAUGUACCUUAUGAAUAAGGAUCGGCUAACUCCGUGCCAGCAGCCGCGGUAAUACGGGGGAUCCGAGCGUUAUCCGGAUUUAUUGGGUUUAAAGGGUGCGUAGGCGGCAUUUUAAGUCAGAGGUGAAAGUUUGUGGCUCAACCAUAUAAUUGCAUUUGAAACUGGGAGGCUUGAGUAUGGUUGAGGUAGGCGGAAGGCGUGGUGUAGCGGUGAAAUGCUUAGAUAUCACGAAGAACCCCGAUUGCGAAGGCAGCCUGCCAAGCCAUGACUGACGCUGAUGCACGAAAGCGUGGGGAUCAAACAGGAUUAGAUACCCCUGUAGUC
Molecule: ribosomal RNA, 460 nt
Filed under: uncultured bacterium
Lineage: Bacteria
Description: partial 16S ribosomal RNA
Rfam family: Bacterial small subunit ribosomal RNA
Source: RNAcentral